CCUCUCAUGUUCUUGAGAACAUGAUGAAUCGUGUUUAAAUUCAAAUCAAUAAUUAUAUUUUAGCUUAAAUUCAAGUACCUUGCUAAUUAUAUAUCUGAAAACUAUGUAAAAAAUCAAGUUUAAACAUGAUUCAUCAUGUUCUCAAGAAUUUGAGAGU
This 157-nucleotide microRNA precursor is filed under the name Populus trichocarpa (black cottonwood). Its description in RNAcentral is "miR7819 stem-loop (ptc-MIR7819)". Lineage: Eukaryota; Viridiplantae; Streptophyta; Magnoliopsida; Malpighiales; Salicaceae. The record is from miRBase by way of RNAcentral.